GACGAACGCUGGCGGCGUGCUUAACACAUGCAAGUCGAGCGGUAAGGCCCUUUCGGGGGUACACGAGCGGCGAACGGGUGAGUAACACGUGGGUGACCUGCCCUCAGCUCUGGGAUAAGCCUGGGAAACCGGGUCUAAUACUGGAUAUGACUCCAUGACGCAUGUUGUGGGGUGGAAAGCCUUGUGCGGCUGAGGAUGGGCCCGCGGCCUAUCAGCUUGUUGGUGGGGUGAUGGCCUACCAAGGCGACGACGGGUAGCCGGCCU
RNAcentral lists this ribosomal RNA (264 nucleotides) under uncultured bacterium. RNAcentral describes it as "partial 16S ribosomal RNA". It matches the Rfam family "Bacterial small subunit ribosomal RNA", at positions 28 to 293 of the family's 1533-position model. The record is from RNAcentral.